Molecule: long non-coding RNA, 530 nt
Organism: Bufo gargarizans (Asiatic toad)
Lineage: Eukaryota; Metazoa; Chordata; Amphibia; Anura; Bufonidae
Exons: 3
Source: RefSeq, a predicted model, not a curated record
CUGAUGAUGUCAUGCCCAUGUGACCAGACUCGAGUAGGCGGAGCCAGUCUGGAGUCUGCAAGAAGCACAGUUGAUUUCCGGGCUUUUGAGUGGUUUGAUCUGGUGAGGACAAGGGCAGAAGCAGGUGCAGGGUCUGGUCAUAUCGGAGGCAGACAACAAUAGGGGUGACGCGCGUUACCAGAAAGAUACCUGGUGGUGAUGUUUCCUGAGAACAUCCAGCCUUAGGGAAAACGCUAAAGAAUGGAUAUUGUAUGAAAGGUUUCAGUUGGCUUCUUCCAUUUGCUUUCUUGAAGAUUGAAUGGAUCCAGUCACCUCGUUCACAACAUCAUAUGCUUAUAUUCUGUCAUUUUUUUUUUUACCCUUGUUAUGCACUUGUCGUCAUAAUUUUUAUUUCGUUAUGCACAUGGAUUGAGCAUCUCUUUAACCCCUUAACGACAUGUGACAUAAAUUUGCGUCAACAUGCCAGUAAGAAGAUAUGGAGCUGUUGCAGAUUAUGUGUAAGUAACCAUAGGAAGAAAACGAAAUGAUGU